RNAcentral lists this long non-coding RNA (212 nucleotides) under Carica papaya (papaya). RNAcentral's name for it is "long non-coding RNA (CPAP_LNC006853)". The record is from RNAcentral. Lineage: Eukaryota; Viridiplantae; Streptophyta; Magnoliopsida; Brassicales; Caricaceae.
CAUGGGUAGUCGGGAAUCUGUAUUGUUCUUAGUAGAUGGAAGUCGGAAUGACUUCGUGUGAAGAGUAAGUGAGAAAAAAAAAUAGUGCAUGUCAUUAUUUAUUUGAUUUUCUCUAUUUUCAGCAUAAUCGAUUUGAUUAACAUGAUAUGAAUUUGACUUGAUGAUUUCUUUAUUAAAUUAAAUUAUUUUCACAAUUAAUAAGGAACCCUGAC